RNAcentral lists this long non-coding RNA (857 nucleotides) under Pan troglodytes (chimpanzee). RNAcentral's name for it is "lincRNA". The record is from RNAcentral. Lineage: Eukaryota; Metazoa; Chordata; Mammalia; Primates; Hominidae.
CCCAUAGUGUGAGGAGGCCUAGGACAGUUACAGAAGCCAUGUGUAGGUGUUCUGGCUCCAGCAAAAGUCUUAUCUGACAACAUCAACUACAUGUUAGUUGGUAUAACCUCAUCCUGGAGCAGGGCACCCUAUCGUCAGAUGGUAUCAUCUUUAAGGGGUUGUCUCAGCCAUGCCUUUAGAAUUACCUUUCAUUGCUUGUCAUGCUGGAAGCUUCUGAAUGUUGCAUUUUGUGAUAGAAACAGUGGGUACCAUGGUCAUGUGCUCACAUCUCCUUUGCGGUAAAGAAAAGGAUCACUCAUUAACAUCCACCAGAUAACAUUCUCCAUGAAAGCACCAAAUAAGGUUUGUCUUGGUCCAUUUUAUGCUGCUAUAACAGAACACCACAGACUGAGAAAUUUAUAAGGAAUAGAAGUUUAUUUGCCUCAUGUUUCUGGAGGCUGGGAAUUCCAAGAUCAAGGGGCUGCAUAGAUUGAGGUCCUUUUUGCUGAGUCAUAACGUGGAAAGAGAGUGCACUGCAUAGAAGAAAGGAGGCCAAACUCAUUCUUUUAUCAUGAGCCUACUCCUGAAAUAACUCACUCUCAAGAUAAUGGCAUUAAUCCAUUCAUGAAGGCAGAACACUCAUGAUGUAAUCACCUCUUAAAAGGUCCUAUUUCCUAACACUGUUGCAUUGGGGAUUAAGCUUUCAACACAUGAAUAUUGGGGGACACAUUCAAACCAUAGCAAGAGUUCUUUGUCUGUGUGACUCGGUGUGGUUCAGCAAAUUGCGAUUGGUCUGCUAUAGCGGACUUUCCCCUCACCUCCCAAAUGUUUAUUAUGAAAAAUUUCAAUUUAAAGAAAGGUGGAAGGAAUUGUUGAAA